RNAcentral lists this non-coding RNA (30 nucleotides) under Mus musculus (house mouse). Lineage: Eukaryota; Metazoa; Chordata; Mammalia; Rodentia; Muridae. The record is from RNAcentral.
UNUAUAGCAUAUGCCUGUUAAUGAUAGUCC